AGCACACUGAUGUUCCAAUGAAGAAGCUUGCCGACGUGGCACUGAGCCAGUGCCCGUGAACAGCAGCCUCAACGCACCACCCUAGCGCAGUACAUAACCUCUGCUACAGCAACGCUCCUCACUGGCGACAUUUGCAAAAUAGAACUCCUUUCGGACCCGGGCUGCACUACAGAGAACAGGGAGGAGGUCUGGCCCCUGCACAUUCCCAGUGUGUGGACAUUCCCUGAUGCUCGUGAACCAGAUCCCCAAUUAUGGGUAAAUAGUCCCGCUACCUUGUGGGCAGCCUCAGGAGAGACGAACAUUAAAGGACUAAACCCAGACAGCAAAUCUGGAGCGGAGGCCCUAAGGCCAUUGGAUGUAUUGAACGUCCUUCCUGCAGCUCCUGCAGCCAAGCUGGUGCCAAACGUAUUGCUUCAUAAGCUUUCCUUCGGACUACACAGGUGAGGCCGAGUGGGGGAUCUUGACAACUGGGUCUCCAUACCUUCCGUCCAGGUUUGUGAUGAUGAUGAUCAUCGCCCAUUGUCCUUCGAGACAGACGAAUGUCAACCACCACCAUCUCAUUGGUGUUUGUACUAUUGCCUUGAAAAUUGUUGGUCGCUUUUGUGUUGUCUGUUAUGGUAUUGUCCUGUGUUUUAUGCUUGACACCAAACCACGAUCAAUUGUGGUGUUUGAAGAUGUAACAAGCAGGAUUUUAAAAGAAAAUCAGUUGAUGUUGUGUUCUUGGAUUUUCAGAAGGCCUUUGACAAGGUGCCACACAUGAAGCUGCUUAACAAGCUACGGGCCCAAGGUAUUAUGGGAAAGAUUUUAGAAUGGAUAAAGCAGUGGCUGACUGACAGGAAGCAAAGAGUGGGAAUAAAGGGAGCCUUUUCUGGUUAGCUACCAACAACAAGUGGUGUUCUACAGGCAUCUGUGUUGGGACCGAUUCUUUUUAUGUUAUAGGUCAACGACUUGGAUGAUGGAAUUGAUGGCUUUGUUGGAAAGUUUGCAGAUGAUAUGAAGAUAGGUGG
Molecule: long non-coding RNA, 1007 nt
Organism: Hypanus sabinus (Atlantic stingray)
Lineage: Eukaryota; Metazoa; Chordata; Chondrichthyes; Myliobatiformes; Dasyatidae
Exons: 3
Source: RefSeq, a predicted model, not a curated record